RNAcentral lists this long non-coding RNA (2190 nucleotides) under Dromaius novaehollandiae (emu). Its description in RNAcentral is "lncRNA (ENSDNVG00000011095.1)". The record is from RNAcentral. Lineage: Eukaryota; Metazoa; Chordata; Aves; Casuariiformes; Dromaiidae.
AAUAAACUCAACAGUUCAUGGGCCAGGCCUAUUCUUGGAAGACCUCUGUCGAAACCAAGAGAGCUCCCUCAGAYGACAGUUGGGCCUGCCAUGAUUUGUUUACCUACUGAAGGUAGGACUAAGGCACUGGAAUUCUUGACAGGUGAGUGCAAAGUUCAUAGCUCCACCUUUUCCAAUAGGUAGCUGGACUGAAGCCAAGACUGGCUGAAAAUACUUGAAAUAAGAGCAAAGCCAUGCCCCCAAGACAAAGGCAUGCCCUGAAUCACUUAUCUCACGUGCCAAGGGAUAAGCUUCAGGUGGGUUUGCCAGCAGACACCAGCCUUUUCCACUGCCUUCCCACACAGCCACUGAUAUAAGGGAUUCAGCUUUGCCCAGGGAAGAAAGAAAGAAAAGGAACUGGAGAUGGGAGAAACCAGGAAGGAUAUUUCAUUCCAUCUAUAAAACCCGCAUACAGGUGGAAGAAAGGGAAAGAGUAAACAUCUUCAUGGGCUUGUGAGCGCCACAUGGCUUGAUCCUGAUCCCUGGCUCUGGUCUGGCCAUUAAGUGUGAAAAGUUGGUGCUCUGCUUCUGUUUAACAGUUGUGCCUGAUUGAAAACAGGAAAAAGGAACAGUGCAGGGGAGACAGAGAACACGUGCAUGCCACUGCCAUGUCCRUUUGCUCUCUGACUCUCCAAACAACCUGAGAAAGAUGAAUAGUGACAGUGAGACAGAAACCUGUGAACAGUGUGGAGAAAAGAAAUGCGGUGACCUCAUUUUUCAUAAGCUCUAUUGCUAUGACAUCUACAUCCCAUCUGCACCUGCACCGCGUAACAAAGAGCAGAUAGAUGUUGACAGAUUUAUUAAUGAGAAGAUUGUGGAAGUCCUGGAGAAUGAUGACUACUGCUGUUACCAUGGUUGCAGGAAUUUCAUUGGUGGAGAUAUCAUCAUGCAGGCGAUGCAGAAGCCCAUGAAAAUUAUCCCUGUUACACUUAUACCAGUCUACAAAGACCAAUAUUUCCUAACCCUUUUAGACAUGCUCAUAACUGCAGAUAAGCUGAGAAGAAUAGUGUUGCUUUUGUUUGAUGCUWCUUAUAUUAGGCCCAAUCUAUUGCAAUGUUGCUUUUCAAUAGAAGCAAAUGACCCACAACUUUUGCGCAAAAUAAGGAAAACCAUAGACCGUCAUAGGAGAUUGAUUCCACUGAGCAGAAGGAAACAGACAGUAUUGAAGGAAACGGAGCUAGAGUCUACUCCGUUCCCCUCAUCCUCCGCAGGCAGAGACUCCCCUUUCAGGAGGUCAGAUAGAUCAAGGGAGUCAUUCAGGCCAUACUGGAGACACCAUGGCACCUUCUCCUCCAGCAGGAACUCGUUCUUGCCGCUGAAGCACAGAGUGCUUCCCCACAGAGAAAUUGAAGAUAUCCUGAAAGAAAUGUCCUACACACCUUUUCAAGAGCAAGGUGACUAUUUUCUGAGAUACUGGGAUGCUAGCAAUGAGUGGAUCAGACAACGUAUCUGUCAGGUGUUGAUCAGAAACAUCAGGAGGGACUUCCUGACUUUCUGUAAGGUGGCAGAGCUGGAGAGCUUGGAGUUGAGAGUAAGAAAUCUCAUCCAAUGCAGCAGCUCUGCUUCUAACAAGGAGCUUUGCAUUCAGAAGGAGAAACUAUAUUGUUGGAUUCUGGCAGCGAUGUUUGUUCAUGUCUCCACAACAAACAACGUGAAGCUGAAGGCUCUGCUGAGGGGAAUGGCCUUUGCAAAAUGCACCGUUCCUUCGGGGGAGAGAAAUUAUGAGUAUCUGUGCCUUAGUGCCUACCAGAAAAUCAGAGUGGCCAUCUCCACUGCUGUAAAAAAACAAAGGUCCUGGCCAAAUUCCAUAGAAACAUAUCUGAAGCACUUGGAAAGUUUCCUUAGGACACUGGAGAAAAGAGUGACUUUCACAAAUCAGAGGGUCCUGCAGUUCCAGUUCAUCCAGAAGCAGCUCCAGAGAGUACCCUGGAUGAUAAGACAUGUCUUUAUUCUUGUUAUUACCGAAAAGGUGUUUGAAGCCAAACAGCUUGCAGUUAGCCAGUCCUUCUUCCUCUAUGUGUGCACAAAGUUGGGGAAAAAUCACUGGGAAAUUUUACUGGAAAUCACUGAGCGCAUCACUGAACAUAUCCAAGCCAGCCACACACAAGGUAAGGAAAUGCGGGAUUAGCCUGAGGCAUAGGCAAAGCUGGU